This 506-nucleotide ribosomal RNA is filed under the name uncultured bacterium. RNAcentral describes it as "partial 16S ribosomal RNA". It matches the Rfam family "Bacterial small subunit ribosomal RNA", at positions 29 to 523 of the family's 1533-position model. The record is from RNAcentral.
AGUGAACGCUGGCGGUAGGCCUAACACAUGCAAGUCGAACGGCAGCACAGAGGAGCUUGCUCCUUGGGUGGCGAGUGGCGGACGGGUGAGGAAUACAUCGGAAUCUACUCUGUCGUGGGGGAUAACGUAGGGAAACUUACGCUAAUACCGCAUACGACCUACGGGUGAAAGCAGGGGACCUUCGGGCCUUGCGCGAUUGAAUGAGCCGAUGUCGGAUUAGCUAGCUGGCGGGGUAAAGGCCCACCAAGGCGACGAUCCGUAGCUGGUCUGAGAGGAUGGUCAGCCACACUGGAACUUGGACACGGUCCAGACUCCUAGGGGAGGCAGCAGUGGGGAAUAUUGGACAAUGGGCGCAAGCCUGAUCCAGCCAUACCGCGUGGGUGAAGAAGGCCUUCGGGUUGUAAAGCCCUUUUGUUGGGAAAGAAAUCCAGCUGGCUAAUACCCGGUUGGGAUGACGGUACCCAAAGAAUAAGCACCGGCUAACUUCGUGCCAGCCGCCGCAGUAA